This is a long non-coding RNA of Chenopodium quinoa (quinoa), 1952 nucleotides long. RefSeq lists it as uncharacterized. NCBI's taxonomy places the organism in Eukaryota, Viridiplantae, Streptophyta, Magnoliopsida, Caryophyllales, Amaranthaceae. The record is from RefSeq and is a predicted model, not a curated record. The transcript is spliced from 3 exons.
UCAUUUAUUGAUAAGUGACGCAAAUAACUUUGUGGGUAAAUUGCGUCACUUCUUUCUUCAUUGAGCGACGCAAAUGACUAUUACCACUACCACCCACUCAGUGCUUCCUCUCAUUCAAUAUAAAAUACUCUUGCUCCCAUGUCGCCGUUCGAACUUCAAAAUUAAACCCUAGCAAAUUCAACUGCAAAAUCCCCAAAUAUUCAACAUCAAAACCUCAAGAAAUUCGUCCAACCAACCGAUUCCCCAGCGUUGCCUUGUUGUCGUUCGUACUGCAAAACCUACUGAUUUCAACAGCAAAACCCUGAUAAAUUCGACCCAAACAAACAAAUUUGACCCCAAAAUCAACAAAUUCGACCACUAAUUGAAAACCCCAAAAUAUCCAAGCCAAAACCCCCCACUUUCUAGCAAAUUCGAGGCAAAACACCCCAUUUUUUAGCAAAAAUCGACUUAAACCACCCAUGAAAUUCAAACUAUUAAAAUCGUUGAUAUUCGAGAUGAAAUACCCUAAAUCGAGGCUAGUAGGGGAUUGCUGCUUGUUGGUGUUGCUGUUGAUGGUUAGCUGGGGCGGCAUUGGUUGAUUUUCGCGGUGGCAGCACUAUUAAUUAGUGGAGAUUUGGGUGCCGCUGCGGUGGUAAAUUGUUGUUCAAAAGUUGCUGGAGUUCUCUCGUUCUGCUUUGUUCUAUAAUUUCUCAUUUCUGAUGGUUGGUGGUUAGUGGCGGUGGUGUGGCUUUGGUGCAGCGGCAAUUUGUUGCAGAGAGCUUUUUUGUUGUUGAGUUGUUUGUAAAUUGUAGGGGAGAAGGUAAAGGUUUCUCUCUCACAGCCACAUAUACAUAUUAACUCUAAUCUUUUUGUAUUUCAUUGAAUUUUCUAGUUUGAUUGUUAUAUAAUAUCAGGUAUCAGUUGGAUCAAUAAUCUGCUUAUCGCAUUUCUCUAGCUAGUUCAAUCUCACAAAUAAGAGCCAUAUUUUCUACCACAAAAUAAUUACAGGACUUACUAUUUGCAGAAAAAGCCGAGACAUAGUUCCUAAAUCCUAAAUUUCACAUUAGCAUGUUUAUAUAAGACUAAGUUUCAACAUUAUUUAUCACCUGAGAUAAUUGUCUGUUUUUCAGGGGGUUGGGGGAAACUGAUAAUAAUUCUUGAAGCAGUUAAUUUGAUUAGAAUGGGAUCUUGGAAAUAUUUGAUCAAUUACAAAAGUUUUAAAAGAAGUUUAAGCCUCCAAGACAAAGUUUGGUCUCCAUACAAACAACUUCAUCAUAGUUCAAAAAACAAUGGAGAUUGUGAAAGUGUAUGACUUGAAGUUCUCGAAGAAUAAGGUACAGUGAAUAUUUUGUUGCAUGUAUAGUGAUAAAUAAAAACAAUGGAGUGAAAUAAAUUCUUAACUAAGAUGUAUUUUUUCUUAAAAUAUGGUGAGAAUGAUUAGUAUUCUUAUUUUUCAUGCUUGAGUUUGUAUCUCUUUUGAAAUAAGGUGUAUUAGUAUGUCAACUUACUUUGUUGCUAUGAUGCGUGUAGUGACAUAAAAAAUUGGGAGGAUGUGAGAUAUGGAUACUAUGUCAUGUGCUAUACGUUUGAAAUAGUUCAACAUCAUCAUAAUAUAAAGAGGACCUUAUUAUAGUUUAUUUAGAACAAUACCUUAUACUGGGGAGGAGAUAAAUGUGGUUCAAGAUAUUUGGUAAGACUAUUUUAUGAGCAAUGUUGAAAUUUAGAAUUUAACUUAGCUAACUCCAUUUAUUUGUUAGAAUUUUUUUGUUUAGUUCUUAGGCUUGAAAUGAAUGUAAUUGGGUUACCAACAUUUUGGGUUGGUCUUUGUUCUUGUGUUGGUUAAUGAUACCAAUCAUUUUAAGUUGUAAACUUUUUGAUAGGAUAUUAGUGUAUACAUUGACGUCAUUCCCAAAUUUAUGGGUAGGCCAAAAUACGAAGGAAAAUCUGUCGAAAUAUAUACUUGAUUUGAUUAA